RNAcentral lists this ribosomal RNA (492 nucleotides) under uncultured bacterium. Its description in RNAcentral is "partial 16S ribosomal RNA". It matches the Rfam family "Bacterial small subunit ribosomal RNA", at positions 29 to 507 of the family's 1533-position model. The record is from RNAcentral.
AGUGAACGCUGGCGGUAGGCCUAACACAUGCAAGUCGAACGGCAGCACAGUAAGAGCUUGCUCUUACGGGUGGCGAGUGGCGGACGGGUGAGGAAUACAUCGGAAUCUACUUUUUCGUGGGGGAUAACGUAGGGAAACUUACGCUAAUACCGCAUACGACCUACGGGUGAAAGCAGGGGAUCUUCGGACCUUGCGCGAUUGAAUGAGCCGAUGUCGGAUUGGCUAGUUGGCGGGGUAAAGGCCCACCAAGGCGACGAUCCGUAGCUGGUCUGAGAGGAUGGUCAGCCACACUGGAACUGAGACACGGUCCAGACUCCUACGGGAGGCAGCAGUGGGGAAUAUUGGACAAUGGGCGCAAGCCUGAUCCAGCCAUACCGCGUGGGUGAAGAAGGCCUUCGGGUUGUAAAGCCCUUUUGUUGGGAGAGAAAAGCAGCAGGUUAAUACCCCGCUGUUCUGACGGUACCCAAAGAAUAAGCACCGGCUAACUUCGUG